AUUGAACGCUGGCGGCAUGCUUUACACAUGCAAGUCGAACGGCAGCGCGGGCUUCGGCCUGGCGGCGAGUGGCGAACGGGUGAGUAAUGCAUCGGAACGUGCCCAGUAGUGGGGGAUAGCCCGGCGAAAGCCGGAUUAAUACCGCAUACGACCUGAGGGUGAAAGCGGGGGACCGAAAGGCCUCGCGCUAUUGGAGCGGCCGAUGUCGGAUUAGCUAGUUGGUGGGGUAAAGGCUUACCAAGGCGACGAUCCGUAGCUGGUCUGAGAGGACGACCAGCCACACUGGGACUGAGACACGGCCCAGACUCCUACGGGAGGCAGCAGUGGGGAAUUUUGGACAUGGGGGCAACCCUGAUCCAGCCAUGCCGCGUGCGGGAAGAAGGCCUUCGGGUUGUAAACCGCUUUUGUUCGGGAAGAAAUCCUCUGGGCUAAUACCCCGGGGGGAUGACGGUACCGGAAGAAUAAGCACCGGCUAACUACGUG
Molecule: ribosomal RNA, 483 nt
Filed under: uncultured bacterium
Lineage: Bacteria
Description: partial 16S ribosomal RNA
Rfam family: Bacterial small subunit ribosomal RNA
Source: RNAcentral